This is a small nuclear RNA of Artibeus jamaicensis (Jamaican fruit-eating bat), 107 nucleotides long. Lineage: Eukaryota; Metazoa; Chordata; Mammalia; Chiroptera; Phyllostomidae. The record is from RefSeq and is a predicted model, not a curated record.
GUGCUUGCUUCAGCUGCACAUACACUAACACUGGAAGGAUGCAGAGAAGGUUAGCCUGGCCCCUGAGCAAGGAUGGCAUGCAACUUCAUGAAGAGUUCCAUAUUUUU